CACGUAGGGCGCGAGCGUUGUCCGGAAUUAUUGGGCGUAAAGAGCUCGUAGGCGGCCUGUUGCGUCCGCUGUGAAAGCCCGGGGCUUAACCCCGGGUCGGCAGUGGAUACGGGCAGGCUAGAGGUAGGUAGGGGAGAAUGGAAUUCCCGGUGUAGCGGUGAAAUGCGCAGAUAUCGAGAGGAACACCUGAGGUGAAGACGGGUUGCUGGGCCGACACUGACGCUGAGUGCGCGAAAGCCAGGGGAGCAAACGGG
This 254-nucleotide ribosomal RNA is filed under the name uncultured bacterium. Its description in RNAcentral is "partial 16S ribosomal RNA". It matches the Rfam family "Bacterial small subunit ribosomal RNA", at positions 524 to 776 of the family's 1533-position model. The record is from RNAcentral.